AGGAAGGUAUGGUUCCAGCUUUAUCAGUGAUGACAAAAUAUGUUAUCAGUUUAUCAUUAUCUAAACCGUUUUUGUGAGAAAGGGGGCAGUGUACUUUUGUUUUAUCGUCAAACUCAUACUGUCUGAAUGUUUUAUUGUUGAGAGCUUCUGAUCAAUGAGAAACAAUGUACUGCUGUCAGACUGACUCAGCCUGUCUGAAUGUCAGAUUGUUGAGAACUGUUGUACUGUCGUUAAGCUAACUCACCCUUUCAGAUUGUUCUCAUGUGUAGACAAGUGUCUAAUGUCCCGCUCUCAAUUUGUUUUCAUUUAAGAUCCAAGGUCACAUCUCGUUAGCUGAGACAUCUUAUGUUAAGAUAUGAUAGUGUCCAUGCCAUAUAUGUUUUGAAAAGCUAUUUCAAGUUAGAUAUGUAUUUUAAACCUUUUUCAAGUUAGAUAUGUAUUGUAUAAAUAUUUAUUGUUGGAUAUGUUUGUAUAGUUGUUGUUUGUUAGAAAUUUACAAUGUUAUGUUUUCAGCACUGGUCCAUCCAAAUAUAAUGAUUGCAUGUUGCUGCACCUUAUUGAAUGUGAUAUAAUGGAAUUGUUUAAUGUUUCUCUAAGAUCAAUACUCUGCAGCUGGGUUACUGCUUCAUGCAUCUGCUUGCUGUGAAUCUAUACAUAUCACAUGUCCCCAUCAGGGGCUGAACCAUAGCAUGUCCUCCAUGUUAUUUGGCGAGACCAUCAGGUCAUGAGAUGACUCAACUCGAUUAUGUAGGGAGACCGUCAGGUCAUGAGAUGACUGAACUCGAUUAUAUAGGGAGACCAUCAGGUCAAGAGAUGAUGCAACUUGAUUAUAUAGGGAGACCAUCAGGUCAUGAGAUGACUCAAGAUGAGAGUCGCUAUAUGGCUGAAAUAAUGCCAGUGUAACUCACUCACUCAAGCACUCACAAGAGGAAAGUUGUUUGUUUUUUCCUUGCCUAUGUAUAUUUGCCAACUAAACUGAGAAAUAAUUUGCCUUACUUCGCCAAAAGAGAAUAUGUACUUUAUUGCAAAGACUACUUUCAUCUUAUGUAUCAGCAUAUAACCAAGGAGUUGAUGCAAAUACCAGCCUCUAACCUUUAUUUGUACAUGUGAAACCUUGCACUAAUGCCCUCGAUUACAGCAUUAUAAUGACAGUUAUAUACAGUGGGACUACAUCAAAUGUCAAACACAGUAGUUUGUCAAUAUUAUUUAUACUUUGUCUUGUCUAUUAUUUUUCUGUGGGAUUGGGGUUGUUUUUUCUCUUCAAAGGACAAAGCAUCUACAUGAUAUGAAAGAAAUACUUCAAUUUAAUCAUGGAUUCAAAGCACUUGUUACAGUUUUGUCAGUGGGGAUGAGGGCAUGUUGAUAUGAUGUUCCUGGUUACCUAGUGAGCAACAGUCUCCAACCCUGCUGCAACAAGGCCCUGUACUGUUAAACUGACGGGUUGCCUGUAAAACAUGUCAAAAUAUUCAGCAGGCAGUUAUUAUAUAUCCAGUUAUUAUAUAUCCAGUUAUUCUACCUUUACGAUUCAGGAAUCAAAUGAUGAGAAAUUUAAGAUGCAUUUGUUUAUCACUUUCUUCCAGUAUGAAAUAGUUGAUUGUAAUUACAUGUGGUUUAAUACUGAAAUGUAAGCUUAUGACCUUUUGUCACACCAAGGGAUUAAGGUUCAAGUGCAUGGAGAGAACUUAGGCUUGACAUUGCUGGUGCUAGAUAUAUUUGAGCUAAUAAACAUACUACUCUUGACAAAA
This 1745-nucleotide long non-coding RNA is filed under the name Haliotis rubra (blacklip abalone). RNAcentral's name for it is "uncharacterized LOC124253360". Lineage: Eukaryota; Metazoa; Mollusca; Gastropoda; Lepetellida; Haliotidae. The record is from RNAcentral.